Molecule: ribosomal RNA, 380 nt
Filed under: uncultured Rhodocyclaceae bacterium
Lineage: Bacteria; Pseudomonadati; Pseudomonadota; Betaproteobacteria; Rhodocyclales; Rhodocyclaceae
Description: bacterial SSU rRNA
Rfam family: Bacterial small subunit ribosomal RNA
Source: RNAcentral
GCUGAGAGGCGAGGGUGCCUUCGGAGCCAGAACACAGGUGCUGCAUGGCUGUCGUCAGCUCGUGUCGUGAGAUGUUGGGUUAAGUCCCGCAACGAGCGCAACCCUUGUCAUUAGUUGCCAUCAUUUAGUUGGGCACUCUAAUGAGACUGCCGGUGACAAACCGGAGGAAGGUGGGGAUGACGUCAAGUCCUCAUGGCCCUUAUGGGUAGGGCUUCACACGUCAUACAAUGGUCGGUACAGAGGGUUGCCAAGCCGCGAGGUGGAGCCAAUCCCUUAAAGCCGAUCGUAGUCCGGAUCGUAGUCUGCAACUCGACUGCGUGAAGUCGGAAUCGCUAGUAAUCGUGGAUCAGCAUGUCACGGUGAAUACGUUCCCGGGUCUU